AACGAACGCUGGCGGCAUGCCUAACACAUGCCAGUCGAACGAGACCUUCGGGUCUAGUGGCGCACGGGUGCGUAACGCGUGGGAACCUUCCCUUAGGUUCGGAAUAACUCCCCGAAAGGGGUGCUAAUACCGGAUAAUGUCUUCGGACCAAAGAUUUAUCGCCCUUGGAUGGGCCCGCGUUGGAUUAGCUAGUUGGUAGGGUAAAAGCCUACCAAGGCGACGAUCCAUAGCUGGUCUGAGAGGAUGAUCAGCCACACUGGGACUGAGACACGGCCCAGACUCCUACGGGAGGCAGCAGUGGGGAAUAUUGGACAAUGGGCGAAAGCCUGAUCCAGCAAUGCCGCGUGAGUGAUGAAGGCAUUAGGGUUGUAAAGCUCUUUUACCCGGGAUGAUAAUGACAGUACCGGGAGAAUAAGCUCCGGCUAACUCCGUG
Molecule: ribosomal RNA, 433 nt
Filed under: uncultured bacterium
Lineage: Bacteria
Description: partial 16S ribosomal RNA
Rfam family: Bacterial small subunit ribosomal RNA
Source: RNAcentral